GCCAGGUCCACUGGCGCAUGCCUGUAAUCCCAGAAGCUCGGAAGGCUGAGGCAGGAGGAUCGCAAGUUCAAAGCCAGCCUCAGCAAAAGCGAGGCCCUAAGGAACUCAGCGAGAUCCUGUCUCUA
RNAcentral lists this small RNA (125 nucleotides) under Marmota monax (woodchuck). The record is from RNAcentral. Lineage: Eukaryota; Metazoa; Chordata; Mammalia; Rodentia; Sciuridae.